UAAAAAGAGGUUUCAUAAUGAAGCUAGUUUCGGUGUUCAUCCUCAUGUUUUAUUGGUUUGAUUUAUUUGAUUUUUUAAUGUGUUACUUAGCUGAAUGUGGACUAGUCUAGAUGUUACAAUGUGCUUUAGAUGGCACUUCAUUAUAACUGUCACAUAAUGAUCACACAAAAUCCAGUUACAAGUGAAGUCCAGUUUAUUUUGCCACAACAACGAACAAGCAAGAUGUGUAGAGAAUGUGAACAUGAGCAGGUGAGCAGGUCUCUGUGACACGGAGACUGCGAGGCACUGACCCAAUCCAACUCAGACAGAAUUCCAAGAACAAGACGGUGAACCACACCGGACAACAAUCCUUUUCUGAGAGCAAUCAUGACUCAAAGGACUGGAGAGGAAGCCAGGCAUGGACAAACUCAAACAAUGAUCUGACAACAUGCAGUACCAAACACAAGACAGAUAAAGACAGGACAGAACAAGCGGCAGGUGCAGCUGUGCUAAUUAGCUCAUCAGCACCGUGGUUGCCGGAGCAACUCUGAACGAGCAAUCAGACAGGUAACGAGAUACAGACACGCAGAAAUGAACACACGGAUCCAUGAAUGUGUGUGGCAGGAUGGUUAGAUCCUCCUGUACUGAUUGUUAGGAUUGUUAGCCUAUCAGUAGUUAUGGGUGAGCGUAUAAAGGGUGGAGUUGCGUGACUUGGAUGUGUUGGUCUCAGGUGCUCUGCCCCUUUCUGCUACCAGCAUUUACACAGUGUUUAGCAGUGUGGCUAACUUGGUCACGGCUCACUUAGGGUUCUUUUUGUGCAUUUAUCUGAAAGCCGUAUGACAUCAACUGGUUAAUGUUGCGACCUGUGUUUGGUCAGACUUCUUACUUGGGUGCUGUGUGUCAAACCCCAAAAGGGCAGGGAGGCAGAUAUCCACACGUGUGCGGUGGUGGCGCUAUCUUGUCACCGUGUGCAGUGUUGUGGCGUGUCGAUCACUAACCAAAAUCUCACUGGGUAUUGAGUGUGUGAAUGUAUGCACCAAUAGUGUGUCAUAAUUGCAAUUUGUGCUUCUUUAGGAGUUGAUUCCAGCUGACCACAGCCCUGUAACUCUCUUUUUUUUUUUUUUUUUUUUUUUUUUUUUUGUGAUCCGCAACAAAUAACCAAUCAUUAAGUUUGUCAGCGCUCAUGUGAUUUCCUUUUUAAGUAAUUUAUUACUUGGAUUAAUAAAGCUUUGUAUUUUGGUACCCACGUCUCUUGCUCAAUUAUUUUGUGGAACUGAACCUGUAUUGCCUUGAUUAGCACCUGCCAGUGCAUAGUAUUUCCCUAGGUGCAAGUCCUGGGGUGGCGUAGUCCUCUGUCUAGUGUUAUAGUUUUUGUUGCCUAUUGCCAUGCUGCUACAUUCUGGCGUAGUCGGCAGUGUUCUACAGUUUUGAGUAGAGACGUGGGUUAUUUUGUUGCUUUGGAUAUUUCUUUAAAUUGAUAUUGUUUUUGUUUACGGUUCUUCCUAGGAAGACAGCAGCACAAACUCCUGGAAGGAUUCACCUGGCUGUUUUCUCUUUUCUAACCCC
This is a long non-coding RNA of Cyprinus carpio (common carp), 1545 nucleotides long. RefSeq lists it as uncharacterized. The transcript is spliced from 3 exons. Lineage: Eukaryota; Metazoa; Chordata; Actinopteri; Cypriniformes; Cyprinidae. The record is from RefSeq and is a predicted model, not a curated record.